GGUUAAGUUAUUAAGGGCGCACGGCGAAUGCCUUGGCACUAGGAGCCGAAGAAGGACGGCACUAACACCGAUAUGCUUCGGGGAGCUGUAAGUGAGCUUUGAUCCGGAGAUUUCCGAAUGGGGGAACCCACUACGUUUAAUCGCGUAGUAUCUUGACGUGAAUACAUAGCGUCUUGAAGGCAGACCCAGGGAACUGAAACAUCUAAGUACCUGGAGGAAGAGAAAGAAAAAUCGAUUCCCUGAGUAGCGGCGAGCGAAACGGGAAGAGCCCAAACCAAGAGGCUUGCCUCUUGGGGUUGUAGGACACUCUAUACGGAGUUACAAAAGAGCGAGUUAGAUGAAGCGACUUGGAAAGGUCCGCCAGAGCAGGUAAAAGCCCUGUAGUCGAAAGUUCGUUCUCUCCUGAGUGGAUCCUGAGUACGGCGGAACACGUGAAAUUCCGUCGGAAUCCGGGAGGACCAUCUCCCAAGGCUAAAUACUACCUAGUGACCGAUAGUGAACCAGUACCGUGAGGGAAAGGUGAAAAGCACCCCGGAAGGGGAGUGAAAGAGAUCCUGAAACCGUGUGCCUACAAGUAGUUAGAGCCCGUUAAUGGGUGAUAGCGUGCCUUUUGUAGAAUGAACCGGCGAGUUACGAUUACGUGC
RNAcentral lists this ribosomal RNA (644 nucleotides) under Lysinibacillus capsici. RNAcentral's name for it is "partial 23S ribosomal RNA". It matches the Rfam family "Bacterial large subunit ribosomal RNA", at positions 1 to 641 of the family's 2925-position model. Lineage: Bacteria; Bacillati; Bacillota; Bacilli; Caryophanales; Bacillaceae. The record is from RNAcentral.